RNAcentral lists this ribosomal RNA (848 nucleotides) under uncultured bacterium. Its description in RNAcentral is "bacterial SSU rRNA". It matches the Rfam family "Bacterial small subunit ribosomal RNA", at positions 51 to 890 of the family's 1533-position model. The record is from RNAcentral.
ACACAUGCAAGUCGAGGGGCAGCAUUUCAGUUUGCUUGCAAACUGGAGAUGGCGACCGGCGCACGGGUGAGUAACACGUAUCCAACCUGCCGAUAACUCGGGGAUAGCCUUUCGAAAGAAAGAUUAAUACCCGAUGGUAUAAUUAGACCGCAUGGUCUUGUUAUUAAAGAAUUUCGGUUAUCGAUGGGGAUGCGUUCCAUUAGGCAGUUGGUGAGGUAACGGCUCACCAAACCUUCGAUGGAUAGGGGUUCUGAGAGGAAGGUCCCCCACAUUGGAACUGAGACACGGUCCAAACUCCUACGGGAGGCAGCAGUGAGGAAUAUUGGUCAAUGGGCGCAGGCCUGAACCAGCCAAGUAGCGUGAAGGAUGACUGCCCUAUGGGUUGUAAACUUCUUUUAUAUGGGAAUAAAGUUUUCCACGUGUGGAAUUUUGUAUGUACCAUAUGAAUAAGGAUCGGCUAACUCCGUGCCAGCAGCCGCGGUAAUACGGAGGAUCCGAGCGUUAUCCGGAUUUAUUGGGUUUAAAGGGAGCGUAGGUGGACAGUUAAGUCAGUUGUGAAAGUUUGCGGCUCAACCGUAAAAUUGCAGUUGAUACUGGCUGUCUUGAGUACAGUAGAGGUGGGCGGAAUUCGUGGUGUAGCGGUGAAAUGCUUAGAUAUCACGAAGAACUCCGAUUGCGAAGGCAGCUCACUGGACUGCAACUGACACUGAUGCUCGAAAGUGUGGGUAUCAAACAGGAUUAGAUACCCUGGUAGUCCACACAGUAAACGAUGAAUACUCGCUGUUUGCGAUAUACAGUAAGCGGCCAAGCGAAAGCAUUAAGUAUUCCACCUGGGGAGUACGCCGGCA